This 368-nucleotide ribosomal RNA is filed under the name Salmonella enterica. Its description in RNAcentral is "bacterial SSU rRNA". It matches the Rfam family "Bacterial small subunit ribosomal RNA", at positions 1 to 365 of the family's 1533-position model. Lineage: Bacteria; Pseudomonadati; Pseudomonadota; Gammaproteobacteria; Enterobacterales; Enterobacteriaceae. The record is from RNAcentral.
AAAUUGAAGAGUUUGAUCAUGGCUCAGAUUGAACGCUGGCGGCAGGCCUAACACAUGCAAGUCGAACGGUAACAGGAAGCAGCUUGCUGCUUCGCUGACGAGUGGCGGACGGGUGAGUAAUGUCUGGGAAACUGCCUGAUGGAGGGGGAUAACUACUGGAAACGGUGGCUAAUACCGCAUAACGUCGCAAGACCAAAGAGGGGGACCUUCGGGCCUCUUGCCAUCAGAUGUGCCCAGAUGGGAUUAGCUUGUUGGUGAGGUAACGGCUCACCAAGGCGACGAUCCCUAGCUGGUCUGAGAGGAUGACCAGCCACACUGGAACUGAGACACGGUCCAGACUCCUACGGGAGGCAGCAGUGGGGAAUAUU